UGGGGAAUAUUGGACAAUGGGGGCAACCCUGAUCCAGCCAUGCCGCGUGAGUGAUGAAGGCCUUCGGGUUGUAAAGCUCUUUUGGCGGGGACGAUGAUGACGGUACCCGCAGAAUAAGCCCCGGCUAACUUCGUGCCAGCAGCCGCGGUAAGACGAAGGGGGCUAGCGUUGUUCGGAAUUACUGGGCGUAAAGCGAGUGUAGGCGGUUGCCGUAGUCAGGUGUGAAAGCCUUGAGCUCAACUCAAGAAAUGCACUUGAUACUGGGUGACUAGAGGACCGGAGAGGAUAGUGGAAUUCCCAGUGUAGUGGUGAAAUACGUAGAGAUUGGGAAGAACACCAGUGGCGAAGGCGGCUAUCUGGACGGUUACUGACGCUAAGACUCGAAAGCGUGGGGAGCAAACAGGAUUAGAUACCCUGGUAGUCCACGCCGUAAACGAUGGGUGCUAGACGUUGGCGAGCUUGCUCGUCAGUGUCGCAGCUAACGCGUAAGCACCCCGCCUGGGGAGUACGGCCGCAA
This 517-nucleotide ribosomal RNA is filed under the name uncultured bacterium. RNAcentral describes it as "partial 16S ribosomal RNA". It matches the Rfam family "Bacterial small subunit ribosomal RNA", at positions 355 to 891 of the family's 1533-position model. The record is from RNAcentral.